ACGUAUGUCCCGAGCGUUAUCCGGAUUUAUUGGGCGUAAAGCGAGCGCAGACGGUUGUUUAAGUCUGAUGUGAAAGCCCGGAGCUCAACUCCGGAAAGGCAUUGGAAACUGGACAACUUGAGUGCAGUAGAGGUAAGUGGAACUCCAUGUGUAGCGGUGGAAUGCGUAGAUAUAUGGAAGAACACCAGCGGCGAAGGCGGCUUACUGGACUGUAACUGACGUUGAGGCUCGAAAGUGUGGGUAGCAAACAGG
RNAcentral lists this ribosomal RNA (252 nucleotides) under uncultured bacterium. Its description in RNAcentral is "partial 16S ribosomal RNA". It matches the Rfam family "Bacterial small subunit ribosomal RNA", at positions 525 to 776 of the family's 1533-position model. The record is from RNAcentral.